GUGACCUUGAGGACUAUGUAUACGGCCCAUGGUCCAGUUUUAUUCUCACUAUUCCCCCGCUCUGCUUCCUAGUCACAAUGACCUAAGGAACUUUGCUCUGCCACACCUUUCUACUGUAAUAUUUCUGCCUUGGAGCCAGCUGAACAUGGACUGGAUCCUCUGAAACUGUGCAGUGGAAUCCCCUCCAAGUUAGAGAUGCCAGGAAUGUGCAACAUCUGGUGAGGAAACCCUAAAGCAGCAACAGUCUGCGAAGCUGCCGCUUCUUCUCUGACCUACAGAAAUGGCCGCGGGUAGAUACAAUAUAAGUGUCUAUGGAUUCUUCACAGAUGGGAGAUGAGAGCAUUGCAGCCAUUCUAUGGUGCAGGAAGAGACCUGAGUGUCACUUUCCCUGAAAUGCCCACUACCCUAAAAGGAAGUGCAUGUGGUUCAUUGAGCUGGAAGUUGAACUCAGAUGUUCACACUCCAAAACCUGAAUUGUUUGCAUUCUUCUGUGCAGCCUCAUUUUAUCACUCAUUCCUCGACUGUCAGUCUUUAAGGACAGUGAAAAGGUCUGGAUGUAUCUCUGUAUCUCCAUGAUGCACAGUACUGUGCAGAUACUGUA
Molecule: non-coding RNA, 601 nt
Organism: Heterocephalus glaber (naked mole-rat)
Lineage: Eukaryota; Metazoa; Chordata; Mammalia; Rodentia; Bathyergidae
Source: RefSeq, a predicted model, not a curated record